RNAcentral lists this long non-coding RNA (714 nucleotides) under Capsella rubella. RNAcentral describes it as "long non-coding RNA (CRUB_LNC003780)". Lineage: Eukaryota; Viridiplantae; Streptophyta; Magnoliopsida; Brassicales; Brassicaceae. The record is from RNAcentral.
UUUAUUUGUAGCAAUUGAUCCCAACGUUUAGUUACAUGAUCAUGUCCGUAAAGAAGAAUUUUUGACGGUAGUUGUAGUUAUUACAUGUGCGACUGCCAAACAAAUAACAACAAAGAAAAAAAAUUACAAUAUUCAUAAUCAUAUUAAAAUUAUUCGAAAAAAAAAAUUCUCUUCUUUUAAAAAAAAAAAUCUCUUUCUUCCGAGGAGAGUAUUUGGGAGAGGACAUUAAUGCAGUCUUUAUUCUUGUUACACCAAAUUGUUUUCUAUUAAUAUGUUAAAAGAUUUUGUAUUGUCACAAACAAUUAAGGAAGAUAUAAAGUAUAAAUAAACACGUGAUAAACCAUAUGCAUGCCUGAAUGAUAUUUAUGUUCUGUCCAAUGGGUUUGCGAAUUUCAACAACUUAAGUUAAUUUUGGGCUCUUUUUACCAUAAAAAGAGAGAGAUAGAGAGAUCAUAAAGCAUGCUGAAAAGUAGAUAAUUAUGUAAAAAAAAAAAAAAAAGAUAAUUGUGUUUGCAAUCUUUGACAUUAAUCAAAAACUUAUAGUCCCUAUGAAAUUCUCAGUUUUCUUUUUUAAUAGAGAAUUUUCUCACAAACCUAUGCAAAAUUAAAUACUGUUUCUUUUUUCCAACAAAUACUGUUUUAUUGUUUUUAUUAAUUUUAUUCUGAAAAAGUAAUUCUUUAGUUGAAUUUGUUUCAGUAGAUAUUAAAUGAUGU